This 460-nucleotide ribosomal RNA is filed under the name uncultured bacterium. RNAcentral's name for it is "partial 16S ribosomal RNA". It matches the Rfam family "Bacterial small subunit ribosomal RNA", at positions 338 to 795 of the family's 1533-position model. The record is from RNAcentral.
CCUACGGGAGGCUGCAGUGAGGAAUAUUGGUCAAUGGACGAGAGUCUGAACCAGCCAAGUAGCGUGAAGGAUGACUGCCCUAUGGGUUGUAAACUUCUUUUAUAUGGGAAUAAAAUGUUCCACGUGUGGGAUUUUGUAUGUACCAUAUGAAUAAGGAUCGGCUAACUCCGUGCCAGCAGCCGCGGUAAUACGGAGGAUCCGAGCGUUAUCCGGAUUUAUUGGGUUUAAAGGGAGCGUAGGUGGAUUGGUAAGUCAGUUGUGAAAGUUUGCGGCUCAACCGUAAAAUUGCAGUUGAAACUGGCAGUCUUGAGUACAGUAGAGGUGAGCGGAAUUCGUGGUGUAGCGGUGAAAUGCUUAGAUAUCACGAAGAACUCCGAUUGCGAAGGCAGUUCACUGGACUGCAACUGACACUGAGGCUCGAAAGUGUGGGUAUCAAACAGGAUUAGAUACCCGUGUAGUC